AGCCCAUGGUGGUGAAUUAUAUUACAAACUUAAAGAGUUAGAUGCGUUUGAUUAUCCUGAUUCACCAAUUGUAACCCCUGUGAAAGGGUCACUCGACCCCCAAAGGGUUGUGAGCCACAGGUUGAGAACUGCUACACUAGAGGUAAGAGAGUCAUGAAAUGCACUCUUCCCCUGAACCUCCAAGAAGGACCCAACCCUGUGAACAACUUGUUUUCCAACUCUUGCUCUGAAGUCAAGAGAGAAUCCAUUUCUUUUUUUCAAAGAUUUUUAUUUUUUUUUAAAUGUGUAUGGGUGUUUUGCCUGCAUGUAUGUCUGUGCACAUUUGUGCAGUACCCAAGGAGGCCAGAUGAUAGCUUUGGAUCCCCUAGAAUUGAAGUUACAUACUGUUGUGAGCCACCAUGUGGGUGCUGGGACCAAAACCUGGGUCCUCUAAAAGAUAAAUCAUUGCUUGUAACAGCUGGGCCAUCUCUCCAGCCCAGAACCCACUUUUCUUUUUUUAAUGCCAUGGCAGCUCUAGAAGAUAAUAUACUUUUCUUUUUCAUUUUUAGAUUUAUUCUUUUUAUUUGAAGCAUAUGAGUGUUUUGCAUGCAUGUAUAUUAGAUGCCCUGGAACUGGAAUUACAGACGGUUGUGAGCUACCAGGUAGGUGCUGGGAAUCAAACUCAGGUCCUCUAUAAGAAUGGUAUACACUCAUAACUGCUGAGCCAUCUCCCCAGCUCUUCUUUGCUUUUUUCAAGAAUUUCCAAAUUGAUCUGACACAGAAACCCUUUUUCAAAUAAUACCUAUGCAAGAAGCACAAUUGGGGAGAGUCCAGAAAUUUGGUAAGACACUAGUAGUCUCCCUAACUUAAAAGGAAAUCUGGAAAGACACUAGUGGUCUCCCUAACUUACAAAGGAAUUUUAGGCUACAUCUUUCUCCAUUUUGCCACCGUAAUCACCUGGAACUGGAUCUGACUAAAUUGACAUUUACUUACCUGAGGAAAAUACCUAAAAUAUCUGUUUCUAUCUCACCUGUUGUUUUUUUGUUUUGUUUUGUUUUGUUUUACUAUUUUCAAUUUUAUUUAUUACGGGGAGGGAUGCUGCAGCCACAGCAUAUAUGUGGAGGUCAGAAGAGAAUUUCCAGGAGUUGGUUCUUCCCUUCCACAGUGGCUUCCAGAGAUCAAAAUCAUGUCACUAGGCUUGCUCGGUAAGUGCUUUUACUGCUGAACCAUGUUAGCAGCCCUCACCUAUCUUUUAACACCAAGAAACUAAACAGAAAAAGGCUAAAAUUAGGGAUGAAAGUCAACAGCAGCAUCAAGGCAUAGUUAGGAAGAGUAUUAGUCACCACCCAUAGUCCUCAUAAUCUCCCCCAAAUAAGUGUACUCAAUUUAAGACAAGCUCUCUAGCUCCACCCCCAGCCCCCAGAUUGGCAUUCCUAGACCCUUCCUCUCCUUUACUCAUUAGCCACCACUGGGCAAACUGGUGUCCUAGUGUCUUUACUGCAAAAUGAAUUGCAUGCACCCUGCCAUGGUAAUUAAUACCAUAUUGCAAAACAUUCUUCAAGAUUUAUUUUUUAUUUAUGUGUAUAUGUGCGUGCAUGUGUAUGCAACACGUGUGAGGAUAUCCGAUGUGGCCAGAAGAAGUUGCUGGAGUUACAGGGGGUUGUGAGCCUCCCGACUUGGGUGCUGACAACUGUACUCUUGUCUUCUGGAAGAGCAGCAAGCACCCUUAACCGUGGAGCCAUCUCCCCAGUCCCUGCAAAACAGUCUGAGUCACCUAAUCUGGCUUGAGUUUCAGCUACCAGCCCUUCCUUGUGGUGGUUCCAGUUGUAGUUUUUCUUUUUUUUCUUGAGUUCAUCUCUAUGGGUCUCAUUUCUAGAGUUUCCUGUGCCCUGAGGUGGGACAGUGUUCCCAAAGAGAAUCUGCUUUUCCUCAGGCCCUAGGGAUUCAAGAGUCAUUUGAAUUCAUUCUCUGUUUGGGACCAAUGUCCUAAUCUGGUCAUUAAAACUAGACCCCAAAACCAUAUGUCUCACAGGGGUUUUCUUUUUCACAUGCAUAUACUUAGCCCCCAGACUUUUAUGCCAACUGUAUCAUAGGCCCUUUCAUCAGUGUGUAUCACAGGCAUUUUAAAAUCAGUUUGCCCAAUAUUUGUUGCAAAAUACUUGUUUAACUAUGUAAAGAUGGGUUGCAUUUGUUUAAUUAUGUAAAGCUGUGUUGCUGUCUUACCUUGCCUGCCUAAGGCACCUGAUUGGUCUAGUAAAAAGCUGAAUGACCAAUAGCAAGGGAGGAGAGAUAGGCAAACAUUCCAGGCAGGAAGAAUAAAUACGAGGAGGAAUUUAGGCUCGGGAGAAAAGAAAGGAGAAAGAAAAACAGACACCAGGGACAGACAGACAGACAGACACAGAGGAAGCAGGAAAGUAGGACAUACAAAAUGAAAGAAAGGUUAAAAGCCCAGAGGCCAAACAUAGAUGAACAGAAACAGGUUAAAUUAAGUUAAAAGAGCUAGUGGGACAAGCCUAAGCUAAGGCCUGGCAUUCAUAAUUAAUAAUAAGUCUCCAAGUCUCUGGAAGCUGGUUGGUGGCCCAAAGAAAAGUUCAACUACAGAUGUUGAACUUCUCCUGGAAAACUUGUGUUACACAUGAAUUUCUUAUUUCAGGAAAUAGUACCAGAUUGAUGUUUGUGGGUAUGUAGGAAGCUUACUCAGCAAUGGGUAAAUAGGGGUUGAGAUUUAGCUUACAAACAGUUCACUUGUAUAUCCCCCAGCUGUGCCCAAUGAGAAGGAGGUGUGUUUUGUUUCCUAAUUAUACAGUGAUGCACUCUGGGUUACACACGGUCCUAUCUCCCUCCCUGUGACCACUUUUCCUCCCCUCACCCACAACUAAAUCAUCCCAAAGGCUCCCUUAGGCCCUCCAUCUCCUAUGUCCUCUCUCUUAUGGUCACAUUAAGCUGCUGAAUCUGGAUAAUAUGAACACAGAAUUCUGAGUUCUAUUUGAAAUUCUAUUAAAGAAGAACUCAUUUUAAUGCAGUUAUGCUUUGACCAUCCAUUCUGGCCUCAUUUUCUAGCAGAAGUCUCUGUUUUUACUCCAGUCUCUCACAGAGUUUACAGGGAGGAGCCUCGGCAUACAGAAACUCAAGGCAGCAGUAGUCUUCCAGAUACUUAGUGUGAGAUCAGACCAUCACUCUGCAUUGGAAGGACACCAGCCAUCUCUCUGACUUCCCUGUCCUUUUCCAAAUCCACUGGGAAGCUGGCCCAUCAGGUCACUAAAAAGUGCACCACCCAUGUCUGGCAUAUUCCUCAGUCAAGGUGUAGGUGUGUUCAUGUGUUCAGAUAUAUUGUCUGGAUUGUCCAACAAAGCAAGAAGAGUCUGAAGAGCUGCUGCAUGGCAUUAGGAGCAAAACUCUAAAAUACUUUGCCAUGUCAAGUUCUAUAAACAGUCCAACCAAACUAAUCCUUCACACCAAAAACUUGGAAAGUACUGGGGGAUGCUAUAGAAUGUCCAUAAAUCUUUUAUGGAGUUGUGGAGUUUAAUGUUGCUAUAGUUUGGAUAUGGCUUGGUCCCUAUAGUGAUUGGCCAUAUUGUGGUGAUAGAUUUAGAAGAUUGUCUGUUUCUGAGGAUGUUUCCAGAGACAUUUAACAGAGGAGAGAAACCCACCCUGCAUGUGAGCAAUAUCAUCCCAUGGGCUAGAGUCAUAGGUAAAAUAAAAAUGAGAAAUCCAGCUGAG
Molecule: long non-coding RNA, 3699 nt
Organism: Peromyscus californicus insignis
Lineage: Eukaryota; Metazoa; Chordata; Mammalia; Rodentia; Cricetidae
Exons: 2
Source: RefSeq, a predicted model, not a curated record